CCACCUUUAGCAUGAGUGGCGUGUUUGGUUUGUUUGUGGCUUUCUUCCAGAUUAACAAAUCUAUCUCAUACUCCACGUAUCCUCAUUAUCACAAGAACUGACACAAAGGACACUGUUUAUUGCUGAAUUCAGAAGACUGGAAGUAAGACUGCAAUUUAAUUUCUUCCAAAGCAAGAAAAUGAAGGUCAAGAGGGAAACAGCUUACAUCCUGAAAAGACUGAGAUCAGAGUAUGCAGGGCUCUACAAAAGUCAUUUACUGUUCACUGUACUCUCCAUCUUAAUAUUCAAGGAAUAAGAGUCUGAAAUUUGGUGACCACGAGGCCAUAAUACAGUUG
Molecule: non-coding RNA, 335 nt
Organism: Cyanistes caeruleus (blue tit)
Lineage: Eukaryota; Metazoa; Chordata; Aves; Passeriformes; Paridae
Source: RefSeq, a predicted model, not a curated record